This 401-nucleotide long non-coding RNA is filed under the name Homo sapiens (human). RNAcentral describes it as "LHRI_LNC1950.1". The record is from RNAcentral. Lineage: Eukaryota; Metazoa; Chordata; Mammalia; Primates; Hominidae.
AAAUAAUUUAGGAUGUGUCUAGUUGGAAGUGCUCACACAAUGGAGAAAGUAAUUUUUCUUUCAGAGGUAAGUUACCUUGACCUCAGGCCUCCUUGCUAUUCUUCUUUCACAGUACCUUCUGCCAUUCUGCUGGGGCCAAUUAGUUCUUGGCUCAGCUGUUUUAGUUUCUCUACAGAAGUUGGGCUUAACCAUGUUUAUAAUAUGUGAAAAUCAAAUUCCAUUUUUUUCUUCUAAGAGAGCUAGAACAUUAAAUUCCCUGCCAGUGAUCUAAAACACAUCGAAUUGUAUAUCUUCAAAUGCAAAAGGUUUAUUUUUUCCAAACUUACAGGAUUUAAAGAUGACGAGGCCUUAGAAAUAGUGGUUAUUAUAUGUUAGUGAUGAUUAUUUUAGUUCUGCAGAUA